Long non-coding RNA from Olea europaea var. sylvestris, 2625 nucleotides. RefSeq lists it as uncharacterized. Lineage: Eukaryota; Viridiplantae; Streptophyta; Magnoliopsida; Lamiales; Oleaceae. The record is from RefSeq and is a predicted model, not a curated record. The transcript has 2 exons.
AUUUGUGUAUACCCUUGUGCUACCAAUCGUGCCUUAUUUCAGACAAUGUUUGCAUGCUCAUCAAAUUACCUUUGAAGAUCAAUUUAGUGACAAUGAUAUUUACAUUUGUUUGCCAUGCUACUAACUCCUAGACGUUGUUUCGUUUGAAUUGAGCCAAUUCUUCUUGCAUUACUAAUACUCAUGAUUCAUCAUUUAGAGCUUCAGUCGCAUUCUUUGGUUCAAUGUGAGACAUGUGGCACAUGUUUUUGAGUUCGAUGGCAAGUAUCCUUCUGGUUACCAUUUCAUUGCCACGAUAAGAAAGUACGUUAUUGAGAGGAUGUGCUUUCUGAAUCCAGGUAGAUGGUUGUCUCCUUCCUUGUUAUUCACUAUCUUCUUCGAGUGAAUCCCAACCUACAGUAUCCAUUUCGGAUUUGCUAGACCGGUUAUAGGAAGUUUUCCAUCUGGCUUUUUUCUUCAAGAUUUAUUGUACUAUUUUCCUAAUUAUUCUGAGUAAUUUCAGUUUAUUCAUCCAAGUUUCUAAUCUUAGGUUCAUGUGAGUAAGAGGAGUAAUCAUUAGCAAUAUCAAUUUAAUAUUAAUAGAUUAAGUAAUAGUUUGAGUACUCAUGUUAUAUGCUUUAUAGGCCCGACUAUUUUCUAAAUACCCAAUGAAUACUCUUUCAUCACUCUUAGGGUCAGAUUUUCCUAUGUGAUACCUAUUAUUCAAUAUAACACUUCAAAGUAGUGAAAAUAGUGAAUAUUAAGUUUCCUACCCUUCUAGAUUUCAUAGGGCUUUUGUUUAGUGCUUGUUCCCAAGGAAACAUUGUUCAGCAUGUAGCAAGCAUUAUUAAUUGCCUCAGCCCACUAUUUAGCAUUACUCUAGCCAUUUCCUGUAAAGAUCUAUUUUUCCUCUCAACUACACUAUUUUUUUCCUGAAUUUUAGGAGCAAAAAAUUCAUGAAAAAUACGAUGCUUUUCACAAAAGUUAGAAAAACUAGCAUUCUCAAACUCCUUACCAUGUCACUCCUAGUCCUUACAAUUUUAAUGUCUCUUAGUGUUUUUCAAUAGUCAAAUUUUUAUAUAAGUGAGCAAAUCUUUCAUAUGCAUUAUAUUUCUCCCUUAGAAAUUCUACUCAAGUAAAUCUCCAGAAAUUAUCGACCAUAACAAAGAUAUACCUUUUACUACCGACACUUUCUAUUUGAAUUGGCUCUAUUAAAUCCAUAUGAAGUAAUAGUAAGAGAUAGCAAGAAACUAACCUUGUAGGUCAGGUGUUAUAGGCUUCUAACCUUUUUGACAUGAACCACACAAACCUUCAGGUCUUCCUAUAAGCUUAGGGAUUCCUCUUACAUCAUCAAGUUUAGUGAGUUUAACUAGAUCUGUAUAGUUCAAAUGUCCCAGUCGUUUGUGCCAUAGGUCUGUAUUGUCAACAUUGGAUGCGUAAUAUGCAAUAUUAGAUUCUAGCAAAUAAAAUUUAUCACUAGACUCGCUACCAUGUAGAACAUAACUACCUUCAUUUUUCAUUGCCUUACACAUGCUUUUUGUAUACAUAACCAUGAGUUCAUCAUCAUACAACUAACCUACACUAAUUAGAUUAGCUUUUAAAUCAAUAACAAGAGGCACAUUUUCCAACACAGGAGAUCCUUUUAUCUUAAUUGUACCAAUCCUGUCAAUUUUACUUUGAGCACCAUCCCCGAAAGUAACCAUUCUUCUUGCAAAACUUUUGAAAAUUGUUAACAUAGACCGAUUACUAAUCAUGUUUCUCGAACAGCCACUGUUAAAAGUACCAGGAAUUAGAUAUAAUAGAAUUAUAAGCAACAUUUACAACAUAACAGCUAACACUUUUAUAUAUCCAAACUUGCCUUAUUCUAGAAGGUGUCAGUUAGCAAGUUAACUUUCUUAAUGUGAUUUAAUUUUCUAUGUGUUAAACAGUGAUGUGCAUUGUGUCCAUAUUGAUCACAAACAUUACAUCUGAUCUUGUACAACGACUUGCUUGUCUGAAAUUUUAUCUGUUUACCUGAUCUUGUGAUCUAAACCAAGUUUUUUGAGGAGUCUGAACCCGCUAUCGAGUGUUUGUCAAUGGUAAUGUCCUACUGGUGGCAAGUUUGUCUGUCAUUUUGGCAACAGUUUCAAACGGCUGACUUAGCAAUUUUUUCAAAUACCAUUGUCUCUUUAAUAUACAUCACUUUAGUCAUUUCUUUCUCCUUUCUUUUUCCUUUAUAUGCCAGACCUACUUUAUCAUUUGAUGUUCUACCAUAGCUAAUUACUUCUUUAAGGUGCGCAGAUCCAAUUGUCAGCUAUUUAACUCUUUUCCUUGGCAUGAUUUAAUUCAACUUGAAGUUCCAGCAGUUGUUUUUCCUUCUCAUUUAUCAUUUUGAACAAGGCUCUUUCUUUUUCAAUUAUGCCAUCACUGCCAAAAAGGUGACAGAUACAACAUAUUAUCAUCAAACAAAAGGUUGGCAAUUGGAGAUAUUACCUGGUUGUCGUCAGUUUUAUCAUCCUCAUUUGAGUUUGACUCUUUAUCUUUAUAUUCGCUCCAGGUUAUGUUCAUAGCUUUCUUACCUCGGAACCUCUUUAAGGUGCUUGUACACUCAGCCAUUAUGUUCCUCGACCCUUUGCAUUCAUGAAAUUGAACACGAUUUUGUCUCUUUUC